AGUGAACGCUGGCGGUAGGCCUAACACAUGCAAGUCGAACGGCAGCACAGUAAGAGCUUGCUCUUACGGGUGGCGAGUGGCGGACGGGUGAGGAAUACAUCGGAAUCUACUUUUUCGUGGGGGUUAACGUAGGGAAACUUACGCUAAUACCGCAUACGACCUACGGGUGAAAGCAGGGGAUCUUCGGACCUUGCGCGAUUGAAUGAGCCGAUGUCGGAUUAGCUAGUUGGCGGGGUAAAGGCCCACCAAGGCGACGAUCCGUAGCUGGUCUGAGAGGAUGAUCAGACACACUGGAACGGAGACAAGGUCCAGACUACUACGGGAGGCAGCAGUGGGGAAUAUUGGACAAUGGGCGGAAGCCUGAUCCAGCCAUACCGCGUGGGUGAAGAAGGCAUUCGGGUUGUAAAGCCCUUUUGUUGGGAAAGAAAAGCAGCAGGUUAAUACCCCGCUGUUCUGAAGGUACCCAAAGAAUAAGCACCGGCUAACUUCGUG
RNAcentral lists this ribosomal RNA (492 nucleotides) under uncultured bacterium. RNAcentral describes it as "partial 16S ribosomal RNA". It matches the Rfam family "Bacterial small subunit ribosomal RNA", at positions 29 to 507 of the family's 1533-position model. The record is from RNAcentral.